Molecule: long non-coding RNA, 251 nt
Organism: Papaver somniferum (opium poppy)
Lineage: Eukaryota; Viridiplantae; Streptophyta; Magnoliopsida; Ranunculales; Papaveraceae
Exons: 3
Source: RefSeq, a predicted model, not a curated record
AGGAGAACGAAGACUUGAGUCCUGGACGGAUAAUGUACCCUUGUAUGCAGUGUGCUGAUAUCCUUCUCUUAGAGGUUCAUCACACAUUUGUAACAGAUGGAUCAGACGGUGCCUUCAAUUUUAUGACAAGGAUAGCAAACAAAGACUCAAGGCAUAUGCUGCAGCGGGCACUCUGAGUAAGAAUUAUGCCAGUGUUCUUUUGAUGCUUUUGCGUCUUUGUCAGGUUUGUGAUCAUCCCUUUCUUGUCGAAG